Molecule: ribosomal RNA, 417 nt
Filed under: Drosophila albomicans
Lineage: Eukaryota; Metazoa; Arthropoda; Insecta; Diptera; Drosophilidae
Also listed under: 1 other name
Description: partial 16S ribosomal RNA
Rfam family: Archaeal large subunit ribosomal RNA (bases 1-161)
Source: RNAcentral
CACCUGUUUAACAAAAACAUGUCUUUUUGAAAUAAAUUUAAAGUCUGACCUGCCCACUGAAAUUUUUAAAUGGCCGCAGUAUUCUAACUGUGCAAAGGUAGCAUAAUCAUUAGUCUUUUAAUUGAAGGCUGGAAUGAAUGGUUGGACGAAAUAUUAACUGUUUCAUUUUAAUUUUUUAUAGAAUUUUAUUUUUUAGUCAAAAAGCUAAAAUAAUAUUAAAAGACGAGAAGACCCUAUAAAUCUUUAUAUUUAAUUUAUUUUUAUUAUAAAGAUUAAUUUUAUUUAAAUAAAUUUAAAUAUUUUAUUGGGGUGAUAUUAAAAUUUAAAAAACUUUUAAUUUUUAAAAACAUUAAUUUAUGAGUAAUUGAUCCAGUAAUAUUGAUUAAAAAUUUAAGUUACUUUAGGAUAACAGCGUAA